UGAGGAAUAUUGCGCAAUGGGGGCAACCCUGACGCAGCAACGCCGCGUGAGUGAGGAAGGUUUUCGGAUUGUAAAGCUCUGUCGAGCGGAAAGAAAUGCCUUAUGGCUAAUAUCCAUGAGGCUUGACGGUACCGCUAAAGGAAGCACCGGCUAACUCCGUGCCAGCAGCCGCGGUAAUACGGGGGGUGCAAGCGUUGUUCGGAAUCAUUGGGCGUAAAGCGCGUGUAGGCGGCUUGACAAGUCAGAUGUGAAAUCCCUGGGCUUAACCCAGGAAGUGCAUUUGAAACUGUCUAGCUAGAGUAAGGGAGAGGAAAGUGGAAUUCCUGGUGUAGAGGUGAAAUUCGUAGAUAUCAGGAGGAACACCGGUGGCGAAGGCGACUUUCUGGCCCUAUACUGACGCUGAGACGCGAAAGCGUGGGUAGCAAACAGG
This 430-nucleotide ribosomal RNA is filed under the name uncultured Syntrophus sp. Its description in RNAcentral is "bacterial SSU rRNA". It matches the Rfam family "Bacterial small subunit ribosomal RNA", at positions 355 to 776 of the family's 1533-position model. Lineage: Bacteria; Pseudomonadati; Thermodesulfobacteriota; Syntrophia; Syntrophales; Syntrophaceae. The record is from RNAcentral.